CCCUUAGAUGUUCUGGGCCGCACACGCGCUACACUGAAGGAGGCAGCGUGUACUCCUGGAUCGAAAGAUUUGGGUAACCCGCGAAUCUCCUUCGUGCUAGGGAUUGAGGUUUGCAAUUAUCCUUCAUGAACGAGGAAUUCCCAGUAAGUGCAAGUCAUAAGCUUGCGCUGACUACGUCCCUGCCCUUUGUACACACCGCCCGUCGCUACUACCGAUUGAAUGAUUUAGUGAGGACUUCGGACUGGGACCGAUGCGGCUUUCGGGCUGCGUCGGUAUUCUGGAAAGAUGUCCAAACUGUNUNAUUUAUNGGAAGUAAAANUCGUANCA
Molecule: ribosomal RNA, 327 nt
Filed under: uncultured eukaryote
Lineage: Eukaryota
Description: partial 18S ribosomal RNA
Rfam family: Eukaryotic small subunit ribosomal RNA
Source: RNAcentral